CCUACGGGAGGCUGCAGUGGGGGAUAUUGCACAAUGGGGGGAACCCUGAUGCAGCGACGCCGCGUGGGUGAAGAAGCGCCUCGGCGCGUAAAGCCCUGUCAGCAGGGAAGAAAAUGACGGUAACUGAAGAAGAAGCCCCGGCUAACUACGUGCCAGCAGCCGCGGGAAUACGUAGGGGGCAAGCGGUAUCCGGAUUUACUGGGUGUAAAGGGGGCGCAGACGGCGAUGCAAGCCAGGAGUGAAAGCCCGGGGCCCAACCCCGGGACUGCUCUUGGAACUGCGUGGCUGGAGUGCAGGAGGGGCAGGCGGAAUUCCUGGUGUAGCGGUGAAAUGCGUAGAUAUCAGGAGGAACACCGGUGGCGAAGGCGGCCUGCUGGACUGCAACUGACGUUGAGGCCCGAAAGCGUGGGGAGCAAACAGGAUUAGAUACCCGAGUAGUC
Molecule: ribosomal RNA, 440 nt
Filed under: uncultured bacterium
Lineage: Bacteria
Description: partial 16S ribosomal RNA
Rfam family: Bacterial small subunit ribosomal RNA
Source: RNAcentral